UACGUAGGGGACGAGCGUUGUCCGGAAUUACUGGGCGUAAAGGGCGCGCAGGCUGUAGAUCAAGUCAGCUGUGAAAUGUCUGGGCUUAACCCGGGCAUGCGGUUGAAACUGAUGUACUGGAGUGCUGUAGAGGCAAGUGGAAUUCCCAGUGUAGCGGUGAAAUGCGUAGAUAUUGGGAAGAACACCGGUGGCGAAGGCGACUUGCUGGGCAGCAACUGACGCUGAGGCGCGAAAGCCAGGGGAGGCAAACGGGAUUAGA
RNAcentral lists this ribosomal RNA (259 nucleotides) under uncultured prokaryote. RNAcentral describes it as "partial 16S ribosomal RNA". It matches the Rfam family "Bacterial small subunit ribosomal RNA", at positions 524 to 782 of the family's 1533-position model. The record is from RNAcentral.